GUUGAUAAGGUUAAGUGAAUAAGGGCGCACGGUGGAUGCCUUGGCACUAGGAGCCGAUGAAGGACGGGACUAACACCGAUAUGCUUUGGGGAGCUGUAAGUAAGCUAUGAUCCAGAGAUUUCCGAAUGGGGGAACCCAAUAUCUUUUAUAGGAUAUUACUUUUCAGUGAAUACAUAGCUGAUUAGAGGUAGACGCAGAGAACUGAAACAUCUUAGUACCUGCAGGAAGAGAAAGAAAAUUCGAUUCCCUGAGUAGCGGCGAGCGAAACGGGAAGAGCCCAAACCAACAAGCUUGCUUGUUGGGGUUGUAGGACUCCAAUAUGGUAGUCUGUUAGUAUAGUUGAAGGAUUUGGAAAAUUCCGCUAAAGAGGGUGAAAGCCCCGUAGACGAAAUGCUGACAACACCUAGGAGGAUCCUGAGUACGGCGGAACACGAGAAAUUCCGUCGGAAUCCGCGGGGACCAUCCCGCAAGGCUAAAUACUCCCUAGUGACCGAUAGUGAACCAGUACCGUGAGGGAAAGGUGAAAAGCACCCCGGAAGGGGAGUGAAAUAGAUCCUGAAACCGUGUGCCUACAACAAGUCAAAGCUCGUUAAUGAGUGAUGGCGUGCCUUUUGUAGAAUGAACCGGCGAGUUACGAUUGCAUGCGAGGUUAAGUCGAAGAGACGGAGCCGCAGCGAAAGCGAGUCUGAAUAGGGCGAAUGAGUAUGUAGUCGUAGACCCGAAACCAUGUGAUCUACCCAUGUCCAGGUUGAAGGUGCGGUAAAACGCACUGGAGGACCGAACCCACGUACGUUGAAAAGUGCGGGGAUGAGGUGUGGGUAGCGGAGAAAUUCCAAACGAACUUGGAGAUAGCUGGUUCUCUCCGAAAUAGCUUUAGGGCUAGCCUCGGAAUUGAGAAUGAUGGAGGUAGAGCACUGUUUGGACUAGGGGCCCAUCUCGGGUUACCGAAUUCAGAUAAACUCCGAAUGCCAUUCAUUUAUAUCCGGGAGUCAGACUGCGAGUGAUAAGAUCCGUAGUCGAAAGGGAAACAGCCCAGACCACCAGCUAAGGUCCCAAAAUAUAUGUUAAGUGGAAAAGGAUGUGGGGUUGCACAGACAACUAGGAUGUUGGCUUAGAAGCAGCCACCAUUUAAAGAGUGCGUAAUAGCUCACUAGUCGAGUGACCCUGCGCCGAAAAUGUACCGGGGCUAAACAUAUUACCGAAGCUGUGGACUACACCAUUAGGUGUAGUGGUAGGAGAGCGUUCUAAGGGCGUUGAAGGUCGAUCGUGAGGACGGCUGGAGCGCUUAGAAGUGAGAAUGCCGGUAUGAGUAGCGAAAGACAGGUGAGAAUCCUGUCCACCGUAUGACUAAGGUUUCCUGGGGAAGGCUCGUCCGCCCAGGGUUAGUCGGGACCUAAGCCGAGGCCGAUAGGCGUAGGCGAUGGACAACAGGUUGAUAUUCCUGUACCAGUUGUUUUUGUUUGAGCAAUGGAGGGACGCAGUAGGCUAAGGAAUGCAUGCGAUUGGAAGUGCAUGUCCAAGCAAUGAGUCUUGAG
This 1535-nucleotide ribosomal RNA is filed under the name Enterococcus faecalis. Its description in RNAcentral is "partial 23S ribosomal RNA". It matches the Rfam family "Bacterial large subunit ribosomal RNA", at positions 1 to 1530 of the family's 2925-position model. The record is from RNAcentral. Lineage: Bacteria; Bacillati; Bacillota; Bacilli; Lactobacillales; Enterococcaceae.